This 66-nucleotide transfer RNA is filed under the name Karaftohelix adamsi. Its description in RNAcentral is "tRNA-His". Lineage: Eukaryota; Metazoa; Mollusca; Gastropoda; Stylommatophora; Camaenidae. The record is from RNAcentral.
AUCAUAUAUAAGAUAUAAAAUCUGAAGGUUUGUGGAACCUUUAAUACCGGCAUUUGGUUUAUGAUC